GACGAACGCUGGCGGCGUGCUUAACACAUGCAAGUCGAGCGGAAAGGCCCUUUCGGGGGUACUCGAGCGGCGAACGGGUGAGUAACACGUGAGUAAUCUGCCCUUGGCUUUGGGAUAACCACCGGAAACGGUGGCUAAUACCGGAUAUGACGCGCCCCGGCAUCGGGGUGUGUGGAAAGUUUUUUCGGCCAGGGAUGUGCUCGCGGCCUAUCAGCUUGUUGGUGGGGUAAUGGCCUACCAAGGCUUCGACGGGUAGCCGGCCUGAGAGGGUGACCGGCCACACUGGGACUGAGACACGGCCCAGACUCCUACGGGAGGCAGCAGUGGGGAAUAUUGGACAAUGGGCGGAAGCCUGAUCCAGCAACGCCGCGUGAGGGAUGACGGCCUUCGGGUUGUAAACCUCUUUCAGUACCGACGAAGCGCCGAUGAUGGUGGUGACGGUAGGUACAGAAGAAGCACCGGCCAACUACGUGCCAGCAGCCACAGUAA
This 489-nucleotide ribosomal RNA is filed under the name uncultured bacterium. Its description in RNAcentral is "partial 16S ribosomal RNA". It matches the Rfam family "Bacterial small subunit ribosomal RNA", at positions 28 to 523 of the family's 1533-position model. The record is from RNAcentral.